Sturnus vulgaris (Common starling) is the source of this 122-nucleotide non-coding RNA. The record is from RefSeq and is a predicted model, not a curated record. NCBI's taxonomy places the organism in Eukaryota, Metazoa, Chordata, Aves, Passeriformes, Sturnidae.
GGCCUUCUGUCCUCACAGGAGUCCCGCAGAAGACCCUGGUGGGCUCGUAGUCCAGGGGUGUCAUGUCAAUCGGGUGCUGUUCAAGUCAUGGUGACAAGGCAGGAUAGUCCUGUGUAGGGGUC